This 407-nucleotide ribosomal RNA is filed under the name uncultured bacterium. Its description in RNAcentral is "partial 16S ribosomal RNA". It matches the Rfam family "Bacterial small subunit ribosomal RNA", at positions 30 to 526 of the family's 1533-position model. The record is from RNAcentral.
AUUGAACGCUAGCGGGAUGCCUUACACAUGCAAGUCGAACGGAGUGGCGAACGGGUGAGUAAUGUAUCGGAACGUGCCCAGUAGCGGGGGAUAACUACGCGAAAGCGUAGCUAAUACCGCAUACUAUUUGAGCGGACGAUAUCGGAUUAGCUAGUUGGUGGGGUAAAGGCUAACCAAGGCAACGAGCCGUAGCUGGUUUGAGAGGACGAACAGCCACACUGGGACUGGGACACGGCCCAGACUCCUACGGGAGGCAGCAGUGGGGAAUGUUGGACAAUGGGGGAAACCCUGAUGCAGCCAUGCAGCGUGUAUGAAGAAGGCCUUAGGUUUGUAAAGUACUUUCAGCGGGGAGGCGUUACCCGCAGAAGAAGCACCGGCUAACUCCGUGCCAGCAGCCGCGGUAAUAC